RNAcentral lists this ribosomal RNA (427 nucleotides) under uncultured bacterium. RNAcentral's name for it is "bacterial SSU rRNA". It matches the Rfam family "Bacterial small subunit ribosomal RNA", at positions 355 to 774 of the family's 1533-position model. The record is from RNAcentral.
UGGGGAAUUUUGGACAAUGGGCGCAGGCCUGAUCCAGCAAUGCCGCGUGCAGGAUGAGGGCCUUCGGGUUGUAAACUGCUUUUGUACGGAACGAAACGGUCUUUUCUAAUACAGAAGGCUAAUGACGGUACCGUAAGAAUAAGCACCGGCUAACUACGUGCCAGCAGCCGCGGUAAUACGUAGGGUGCGAGCGUUAAUCGGAAUUACUGGGCGUAAAGCGUGCGCAGGCGGUUUUGUAAGACAGAGGUGAAAUCCCCGGGCUCAACCUGGGAAUUGCCUUUGUGACUGCAAGGCUUGAGUGCGGCAGAGGGAGGUGGAAUUCCGCGUGUAGCAGUGAAAUGCGUAGAUAUGUGGAGGAACACCGAUGGCGAAGGCAGCCCCCUGGGUCAAGAUUGACGCUCAUGCACGAAAGCGUGGGGAGCAAACA